AGAGGCCAGGGAUAAAACCUGCAAGCUCAUGGAUGCUGGCUGGAUUCGUUUCUGCUGAGCCACGACGGGGACUUCCUGAAGUCUUUUUUAAACAUACAAAAAACAGAAUAUCUGCUUGGGGAAGGGAACGUAAUGGUAGGAAGAACAUCAGCUACCACUUACCAAACCCUUAACCACAUUCCAAGCUCUGUGCUUUCAUUGGAUCCUCAAAAUAACCCCACAAGGAAAUACCAUUCUUAUCUCCACGUUAAAGGUAAGGAAGCUGAGGCUGACAGAACCACUAGCUGUUUUGAGAGAGAAGUGCACACAACACACUAAGGGUGCUAACGGCGGUGUGAGCAUCCCAUUGUCAGGAUGUACAUGUCUGUAGAGGUAUCUGAGAAGGCCGCACAGAGGUGUGUGUGAGCUGAGCCUGGGAGGGUGAGUGGAAGAGAAAGGCUGCUCCAGCCUGAGGAAGGGACACGAGAAGGACAAGACAGGAGCCUGAGGGGUCUGUUCAUCAGUUCACUCAGGGAGGCUGCAGCAGGCAUGUGGGCAGGGAUGUACAGGAGUGAGGCAGGGGCGGGGGCGGGGGGGGCGGUGGCAGGCCAGGGCCUGAUCACAAAAGCUAUCAUGUGCCUCUGCCAUUCCCAUUCGGGCUUUUUGUUGGAGACAAGGGUGGGGAAGAGAAAUGCAGAGUCAGGUGGGUUCCCACAUUUUACCUGCCUGAAAACACCCCCACACCUGUGCCCAAUGUCAGGAUUUGAGUUUAACAGGGGUUUUUUUUUUUUUUUUUUUUUUUUUUUUGUCUUCUUAGGGCUGCACUUGCAGCAUAUGAAAGUUCCCAAGCUAGGGAUAGAAUUGGAGCUGCAGCGGCCAGCCACAGUCCCAGCCACAGCCAGAGCCACACCAGAUCUGAGCCACAUCUGGGACCUACACCACAGCUCAUGGCAAUACUGGAUCCUUAACCCACUGAAAGAGGCCAGGGAUCAAGCCCACAACCUUGGGGAUACUAGCCAGGUUUGUUAUGGAGCCAAAGUGGGAACUCCAACAGGUCUUUUUGUAGCAACACACCCGACAAAGACCAAGCUCUUAUAACUGAACCUGAAACUAAGCUGUGGGCUUAAUCCAGCCAUAGGAAGUAAUAUCCUAGAAAAGAUGCUUCCUUUUAACUUCUUUCCAGACCUCGAGUCUUAUUUGGUCUUUACAUCCCAGACUCAAAGGGACUCUCAGAAGUUUCUAAAGCCCAGAGAGAGGAAGGGACGUGACCAAGGUCACCAAGAGAGCAACAAAUGAGUAUCGAUUCUGCUAGACAGAAGCUGCGUCUGCCUCUGCUAGAUUCCCAGCACCCAGCACACAGUAGGUGCUCAGUAACAAUCUGCUGAGUGACCGAGUGGCUGACCCAUCACACUCGGCAAUU
This 1399-nucleotide long non-coding RNA is filed under the name Sus scrofa (pig). RNAcentral's name for it is "lncRNA (ENSSSCG00015006307.1)". The record is from RNAcentral. Lineage: Eukaryota; Metazoa; Chordata; Mammalia; Artiodactyla; Suidae.